Molecule: transfer RNA, 71 nt
Filed under: Loxodonta africana (African savanna elephant)
Lineage: Eukaryota; Metazoa; Chordata; Mammalia; Proboscidea; Elephantidae
Rfam family: tRNA
About the family: Transfer RNA (tRNA) molecules are approximately 80 nucleotides in length.
Source: Rfam by way of RNAcentral
GCACUGAUAGUUCAAUGGUAGAAUUUUCUCCUUCCAUGUGGGAGACCCAGGUUUGAUCCCUGGCCAAUGCA